ACGGUGAUAAAGAACUUUUCCACAAAAGCUACUAAUUCAUGCUAUAGUAAAGCAAACUAGAUGAAUAGUUAAGCACCUCAUAAACAUGGUUUUUAGAGCUAUGGACUGAAUUUUCAGACCAUUUGACCUUAAAUUUUAAGAUUUAAUUUAUUUUCUAAAAUUCAAUAAAAAAAGGAUCUUCUGAGUAAAUUCAUAUUGUAAUCUGCUCAAAAUUAUAAGAGGCUACUGACUUAAAUCUAAAUGCAAUCAAAUCCCUAGUAUCCUUGCCUUUCUGUAUAAUUAUAGCGAAGGACCCAUAGUACAAUAGGCAGGUCAACUCAAUUCCAAAACAAACUAAUUCUAACAGACCUCAAAAAAGGCUGACAGUCAUGAAAUGCUCGUUUCUCAUGAAGAACCAGGCUAACACUCAGAAAUGAACAUAAAAAAUUAAAAAACAAAAUACGAGUCAUGUACAAACAGAUGCAAAUUAUUCCUCAACCAUUGCUACGGUGAUAAAGAACUUUUCCACCUUCUCUCUUCCUGUUCAGUAAUAGAGGGUCAACUUGAAAA
RNAcentral lists this unclassified non-coding RNA (549 nucleotides) under Hevea brasiliensis (rubber tree). Lineage: Eukaryota; Viridiplantae; Streptophyta; Magnoliopsida; Malpighiales; Euphorbiaceae. The record is from RNAcentral.